RNAcentral lists this long non-coding RNA (199 nucleotides) under Phoenix dactylifera (date palm). RNAcentral's name for it is "long non-coding RNA (PDAC_LNC001869)". The record is from RNAcentral. Lineage: Eukaryota; Viridiplantae; Streptophyta; Magnoliopsida; Arecales; Arecaceae.
AAACACGAGGUCUCAGUAAAAGCAAACAAUAGGCUUGUAGCAAUAUGUCCACAACUUAUUAAUUCAUGCAGUUACCACCCAGGAAAAAAGAGAAUUAAAGAAGAGUUCAUUAACAAGCAUGAAACUGGAUCCUUAAUGAAAAACAGGGUAUCUUUAACAGACAUUGUAAAUGCUAAACAUAAAAAAGAUGAAGUUGACU